Molecule: ribosomal RNA, 253 nt
Filed under: uncultured bacterium
Lineage: Bacteria
Description: partial 16S ribosomal RNA
Rfam family: Bacterial small subunit ribosomal RNA
Source: RNAcentral
UACAGAGGGGGCAAGCGUUAUUCGGAAUUAUUGGGCCUAAAGCAUCCGUAGCCGGUUCUACAAGUCUUCCGUUAAAUCCACCUGCUUAACAGAUGGGCUGCGGAAGAUACUAUAGAGCUAGGAGGCGGGAGAGGCAAGCGGUACUCGAUGGGUAGGGGUAAAAUCCGUUGAUCCAUUGAAGACCACCAGUGGCGAAGGCGGCUUGCCAGAACGCGCUCGACGGUGAGGGAUGAAAGCUGGGGGAGCAAACCGG